CCAAAACCCACCUUUUCUUCCAUUAAAAUUACCACGUAAAGCACCCAAACAUCACCAAAAACCAGCAACCAAACUUUAGAGAAAAUCAAUCCAAACGAUAGCUCAAACAUAACAAAAAUUCAGCAAAAAAAAACCAGAAAUCAGCCUCCAAAACAGAUCCAAAAAUAGCCCCAAACCUACCAAAAAAUAGUCUCAAAACUCUGCCCUCAAACCAGCCCUCUUCUCCGUCCAAAAACGACCCCAAAAUAGCCCCUUCUUCCUCCCUGAAUAGCAUAAAACCCAGCUGAAAUUCAGCUAAAAAAUACUCAAAAACAGCAGUGAAAACAGAUGCCAAACUCACCCCAUUAAUACCAUCUAAAGCUCCGCCAAAAGCCCAAAAAAUGCAGCUGAAAAUAUGCCCAAAAUGCAGCAAAAUCAGCUGCGAAGCUGCUGAAAAACAGCACAAAAACACCCCAAAAUCAACCCAAAAACCGUCCAAAAAUCAACGCCGAACAGAUCUGAAAAUCUGUUUAAAAACCAACUGAAAACCAGCCCGAACAGUUACACAAAUCAGCCAAUCCCCACCCCAAAUUGGAGGAUUUCGUUGUUCAGCUCUGGGCGUGAAAAAGCACGCAAUUGAGGUCUAUUCGACGAGGUUUUCAGUCGAGAUUCCGGUUCGUAGCUUCGGUGUUUCAACCCAAUAAUCGUUGUUUUAUUUAGCCCAAAUGAAUUACAAAUUUUCAGCUUUGUUCAUCAAUACAAAGGUUCAUUUUCAUCUCAUUUUGAUAUUUUCAGUUUGAUUCCAUGAUUAAAAGCAUGACUUGAUUUGUUUAAAUAUUUUCGAGUUCGUAAUUUAUGUUUGAUAUAUGAUUUGAUUGUUGAUGAUGACUGGUUAUGUAAAUUAGACUUUGAAAUACUACAUGAUGAUGGAAUAUCAUUUGAAAAGUGAGGGCAUUUGAUUAUUUUCAAAUUGUUCUUUCUAAACCGGAUUUUGUUACUAUCUUUGUCAUGAAAUAGAUAGUGGAUAAAUUGAGUUUAAUGCUAAUUAUUAUUGGAUCCGUUUGGGGCUCUUUCAAGAUUUGGACCAAAUAAGAUAAGUUCUGGCAGAAGCCUAAAAGAAAAACUAGGACGUCCAUAUUUAUCCAUAUGCUGGCCCAAUUUUUCUCAAACACAUGUAGCUCACCAUUCCAUAACUAAUUAAUCUAUUUCAUGCUUCUCUACAAUGACUUCUAUACUCUUACUUUAAUGACCCGACCGAUCGUUUUGAGCUCUAGCACGCCGUUCAGCGGUUUGAGGUCUUGAGUAGUUUCACUUCAGGUAUUAUGACUUAUACGUGUGAUCGGAGUUGCAUUUCGGGAAGUUCAGAGUUGAUUUGGAAAGAAAAUUCUAAUUUUAGAAGCUUUAAAUUGGAAGAAUUGACUAAGGUUUGACUUUUGAGUAAAUGACUUCGAAAUCAGGAUUUGAAGGUUCCAAUAGGUUUAUGAUGAUUUUGGACUUGGGCAUAGGUUCGAGUUGAGUAUCGGAUCACCUGGGAGCAUUUCAACGCUUAUUGUCGAAAGUUGGCAUUCUGAAAGCUUUAGAAUUUUUUAAGUUUGGUCUGAGGUAGACUUUGAUGUUAUCGAUUUCUGUUUGGGAUCCCGAGCCUUGGGAUAGGUUCAUAUUGUGAUUUAUGACUUGUGCGCAAAGUUUGGCGUCAUGCUAGAAUGUUUUGAUAUGAAUCAGAUGCGUUCGUCGAAGUUUGAAAGUUUAAAGAAAGGUUUUGAUCAUUGAUUCAUAACUUUGAUGUUGUUUGGUGUGAUUUGAAACCCCGAGUAGGUUCGUGUCGUGUUUUGAGAUGUGUUGGUAUGUUUGUAUGGGUCCCGGGGGCCUCGAGUUUGAAAUAGAUUGAAAUCGGAUUGAAAUUUGGAUUUGAGUUAAUGCUGGAAACUGCUGAAAUCUGGUGUCACCGCACCUGCGGUGGUUUGGUUGUAGGUGCGGACAUGCAGGUGCAAUGGGGGUCGUCAGAGAAGCGGAGAAAGCCGGCUAGGAGAAGGGCCGAAGGUGCGGAGCUUUGGCCGCAUCUGCACAAACGCAGAAGGGAAACCCUGGGCACAAAAACGGGUGAAGGCGCAGGAGCGAAAGAAUCCCACAAUUGCGAUGCCGCAAAAGCUGGGAAUGUUUCUACAUGUGCGAGGCUUCGUGUUGGGGGAUUUUCCACAGAAGCGGAGGAGUGGUCGCAAAAGCGAGCAGAUUUGUCUAGGCUUAGUGGGAACCGCACCUGCGAUAAGUAUUGCCGCAGGUGCGGAGCCGCAGAAGCGGCUAAUGGACCGCAGGUGCGAAGGUCGGGCUGGGCAGUGUGUUCUUUUAAAAUGUGGGUUUGGCUCAAUUCCACUUCAUUUCGUCCGUGGGAGCCAAUUUUGGAGUGCCAUUUUCAUCAUCUAUUAUGGGGUAAGUGAUGUCUUCACAUAGUGAGUUAAAUACAUGGUUUAUGUAUGGAUUUAAGCAUGAGAAUUUUUAGAAAUUUGGAAUUUUGGUGGAAAACCUAGAAAUGAGUAAUUCUUUUUACCACGAUUUUGGAAAUAGAAUUAGGAAUAAAUUAUAUAUAUGAGUUCGUGGCGUUAUGGGUAAAGUUUAUCUUCGAAAAUAUUCGAAAUCCGAGCACGUGGGCCCGAGGGAUAAUUUUAUUGACUUUUAAAGUGGAGUUGAGGACUUUUAUGAAUUGAUUAAUUAUAAGCAUUGGAGUAUAUUUUGAUUGACUUGCACAUUGUUUGACUAGUUACAGAUCGUUUGACUUUGAGUUGAGGUGUUAGAGAGACGUUGAAGACGGUCAUAGAACUUCGGAGCGAGAUAAGUCUCUUGUCUAACCUUGUGAGGGGAAAACUACCCCUAGGUGAUAUUUAUUGUUAUGUGCAACUAGUUGUAGGUGUUACGUACGCACGAGAUGACGAGAGUCCGUCCGUAGCUAAAAUAUGUUUAUGUCCGGGUAGACUUAGGAUUUUAUCAUGUAAUAAUUAAAUUAUUUGAACUCGUUCUGCUAGCUUAAUUAAUUAAAGUUAUAACUAAAUUUGAUUUAGAAAUAAAUAUAUGUAUAAUAGGCCGGGCACUAAUACUUUGAGUUGUGGGUGAGUUAUUUGAGAAACAAUAAAGAUUAUAUUCGUUUUGUGCUCAUGUACUAUUUUGUAAACACGUGUCUCGUAAUUUGGUAACUUCCUUCUUUUCUUGUGGAGCGAGCCGAACAGCUCGGCAGUAUAAUAGAUGCAUCUAUGGUUCGUGCAGCUCGACCCUUGACAGUGUACAUAUUAUUUUGGAUCGGGCCGAACGAUCUCUGCAGAAUCGUGCGUUAUAUCGCUAGUAGUCUGAAUAUUCACAAGAUAAACCUUCCACUGAUGCCCGACAUUUUUAUUGUAUUCCUUAUUUAUUUAAUAUUGACACUUGGCAUUUCCUGAGCUAUUAAGGUAGUAUACAAGAUCGAAAAAUUUAUAUUAAAAGAAAUAUUUAGAAGAUUAUGAAAUUUAUAGAUUUACCCCGUUAUAGCUGUGCACUUCAUAUCUGUUAUGAAUAAUUAUAAUAUUUUUAUUGGACCUCUAGUAAGUGUCGAUGUCGACCCCUCGUCACUACUUCUUGGGGGUUAGGCUAGAUACUUACUGGGUACGCAUUGAUUUACGUACUCAUGCUGCACUUCUACACUAAAUGUGCAGGUUCUGACAGGUUCAUUUGGUUAUCAUCUUGGCGUGUAAGCGCAUCUGUUGAGGAUACAUUAUGUGAGAUGCAAUCCAGGUUACACAUCGCUAUCCACCGAGUCUCCAUCGUACUUUUUAUUUUAUUCUGUAUUAUUUACAUUCUGGACAGAUGUUGUAUUAUUAUUGUAUUCCUUAGAAAAUGCUCAUGCACUUGUGACACACGGGUUUGGGGUUGUACUAGUUGAUGUUUAGGGUUUCGUGCAUUACUAUUGCCUUUCAUUUCUUUUAUAAAUUACAAAUGUUAUAC
This 3945-nucleotide long non-coding RNA is filed under the name Nicotiana tabacum (common tobacco). Its description in RNAcentral is "long non-coding RNA (NTAB_LNC014084)". The record is from RNAcentral. Lineage: Eukaryota; Viridiplantae; Streptophyta; Magnoliopsida; Solanales; Solanaceae.